Molecule: ribosomal RNA, 246 nt
Filed under: uncultured bacterium
Lineage: Bacteria
Description: partial 16S ribosomal RNA
Rfam family: Bacterial small subunit ribosomal RNA
Source: RNAcentral
AUUGAACGCUAGCGGGAUGCUUUACACAUGCAAGUCGAACGGCAGCGCGGUACUUCGGUCUGGCGGCGAGUGGCGAACGGGUGAGUAAUGUAUCGGAACGUGCCCAGUAGCGGGGGAUAACUACGCGAAAGCGUGGCUAAUACCGCAUACGCCUACGGGGAAAGGGGGGAGUCUUCGGACCUCUCACUAUUGGAGCGGCCGAUAUCGGAUUAGUCUAGUUGGUGGGUAAGGCCUACCAAGGCGACG